UUUUUUUUUUUGUUUAGCAAUUCCAUCAUGCGUAUACCUGUGCUUGUAAUGCCCUUGCAGAGGUCGGAGGAGUGGAUGAGAGAGAGGGCAGAUCAUAUCAAGGAGGGAGUGCGCCAGAUGUUUGAGGCCGGCGGCAAGGCCAUGACUGCAGCCGAGACACUGACGCUGGUGGACACGCUCGAACGCCUCGGCGUAGACAACCACUUCCGCCAGGAGAUCGACAUGGCGUUAGCCCGUGUCCACAGCGAGGAGCUGGAGUGUGACAGCUCUAGCAGUAACAUCCACAUCGUUUCUCUUCGGUUUCGACUGCUCCGGCAACACGGGCUAUGGGUAUCUGCAGGUAUAGUUGUAUGAGUUCAUUCAUAAAGAAAAAGAAAAACUGGCAUGGUCAGUUGAACUGCAUAAUUGUGUAAACGUGUUACCUAUGUUAUUGCAGAUGUUUUUGACAAGCUCAAGGAUGACACGGGAGAUUUCAGCGAAAGCCUGGUGACUGACGACCCAAGGAAUUUGCUGAGCCUGUACAACGCGGCACACCUAGCUGCCCCCGGCGAGGAGACGCUAGACGAGGCCAUCUCCUUCUCGAGGGGCCACCUCGAGGCCGUGAAAGGUGAGCUCAGGUCGCCAUUGGCGGAGCAGGUGUCUCGCGCCCUUGAGAUCCCUCUCCCACGGUUUCCCAAGAGGUUGGAGACGAUGCGGUACAUUGCCUAAUACGAGGAGGAGGAGGAGGAGGGGCACAACGGCAUGAUACUAGAGCAGGCAAGGCUGGACUUCAACCUCGUCAGGUCUAUUCACCUCAAGGAACUUAAGGACCUCUCAUUGUAAGUUUUACCUUUUAUUUCUCUUGACAAAUUUCUCCUGGAAUACUCACCACAAGACUACUAACACUUUCUUACAGUUUUUUUUUAUAUAACUACAUACCAUAACUAUCAAACUAUGAAUAGUGAGUUUGUUUGAUUUGAUAAAAUUGUUGGGAAAGAUGUGAAUUAUAUAUAAAAGAAACUGUCGGCCACUGAAGACAAAAGUAAUAAUAAAUACUAAAAUUUUGGGUCGCUCGUAGAAAAUUGUUCAGAAAGAUAGCAUUUCUUGGACACUCUUACGUCGGAUAUGGCAAUAUUUCUUGAAUCCAUAGGUGGUGGAAACAUACCUACAAGACUACAACACCAUGAAGCUAAGCUAUGCUCGAGACCGCCUAGUGGAGAAAUACUUCUGGACCUGCGGAGUGUUCCAUGGGAAAAAAAUUGGGUGCAGGAGCCCUGCAGACCUCCCGCGGUGCAGGACGACUCCGGAUGUGCGACGCGUGGACCGAAAAAACAUCCGCCGCCUGUGAUCGCCAGCUCGAUCACGCCCCGCGUGAUAACCCCGGUCAGCUCGCAAGCAGAUGCUCGCAAGCAGCGCUCGGCUCCGGACGGCAAUUUUUCUCCGCUCGGCUCCGCAGGGCACUCGCUCAGCUCAGUCGCGCCCCUCUCCUCCUCAUUCCCCUUCCCUCAUCUCUUGAGAAAUUUCUGACGCAAGCCUCUGCCGCCGCCACCGUCAUCACCAAAAUCUGGCCGUGAUGGGAGGCCCCCUCUCCUCCUCGUUCCCCUUCCCUCGCCUCUCGGGAAAUUUCUGACGCAAGCCCCCGCCGGCGUCGCCGUCAUCACCAGAAUCUGGCUGUGAUUGGAAGGCUCUGGCGUGUACGUCUACAACCUCUGCCGCCAGGGCCGCACCUCCGACGCCACCGGCAUACUCCUCGCCGCCGAGGGCUCCGGCUCCUCCGUCGACAUCGUCACAGGGUACUGAUGGUAUGACCACGUCGUCGUUGUGCGCUGGUUCAUCUAUGAUUCCUUGCUUGCAGUUGCAGGUUGUGAAUCAUGAAUCUGCAAAGAAACCAAUAAAUUUCAAGGUGAUGACAGUGAUGUAUUCCAUUUGCUAUUGUGGCUGAUGCAGUUGAGAAUGUAUACUGCCAAUUUGAGAAUUUCAGUUUCUUGCUACUUCUCCUUGCUGAAUGUUUGUGGUAAAGCGAAGUGCUAACUACUUUUUUUUUUGACAGGUUGUUAAAUUAUCAAGGGCUAAGAGCAUCUUCUACCAUAACUACAAUCUGCACUGAUCUGCAGUGAUGUCAAACAAUGUUCUAUUUGAUGUGUGAGUUUGCUCUCAAGGCUGGGUGCGGGAAGAUCAAGUUUGCUGAACACUAGCUGUGGGAAGAUCAAGUUUGCUAAAAUACAAGUCUCAUAUAAAUGAAGCACUGAUCUUUAAAGAGGAGGCCGCUGGGCAUAUAUUCAGCAUUGCAAUGAGGACUCAACUCGAGGCAUGGAUGUAUAGUGUAGUUAUAAAUUUUUACAGUGCAUGGAUGUGCUAAAAAUAGAGAGAUUGUUGAUGCUAUUCUAUUCUGAUGUAUAGUGUAGUAAUCAAAUUGGUCGAUGUAUGGAUGUGUUGAAAAAAAUGAAAUUGUUCUGAAAUAAAUAUUGAUGUUCUGAAAACUGAGUUUGUCUCUCUCAUUUGGAGAUUCUGAAAUACAAGUGCGAACAUUUGCAAUGUACAUAUGGAAUGCAAGGAAAUAUUGUGUGGAUGUGUUUAAAAAAUAAGGUCGUCUUUCUCAUUAUACAGUGUAUCAUUUGCAAAAUUAAAAAUCGGGUCCCAAAAUAUAAUUAAUAUGAAGUAGAAAAAAUAAGUCUGUCCACUAAUCUUCUCAAGCAAUAAAGAUGAGUUUCUCUUGAGAGUUGCCUGUUGUAAAAUAUAAGGAAGCUGCCUUGAGAGCUCCCAUAAUCUUAUUGUUUCUCUGAUUCGUUUCACAGACAAAAUCUGGGAUAUUCCAUAAUCUGAAAAAGGGUCAAAUCUAAAGAGUGGUAUCGGGAAGUGAGUAUACAAAAGAAUGACAGGUCAUAAAGUAUGCUGUGAUCCUUAUCCAACAAUAUAAAUAAGUUACAUGGUACAAACUGACAUAAUACAAAUAAAAAUAAAAUUCUGUGUAACACAACAAGGUUACAUGUUUUCUUGAUUUGGCAUUCCACCAAAAUUUAAUUUCUUAACCGGAUGUAAUGUGGCAGCUCGAUCAACUCCAAGUAAGAGAUUUGUAUAUCCUCCUUGGAUAUAAGGAGCGCCCACGGUAGAAGAAUCUUUGUACAUAUUAAAUUGUGGUAUUAUGGCAUUAGCAUAUCCACCUUGGAUCAAUGGAGCAGCCAUGGACGAAGAUUGUCCAUACACAUCAUUUGCAGAGUUUGGCAUCAUCUUGUUAACAUCGAUGCUACCAUCAUUAACAUCCUGUACCAUAGAAUAUGAAACUGCCCAUAAAUAAUUGCAUAUAAGGAAAUCAAAUAUGAAAAGUUGAUAUAGUCCAACACACAUGACUUACGAUAAAUUGAACUAGAUCAGCACCUUCGUAUACUUCGUAUCUAUUUUCUACUGCAGUUGUUGAAUCUUGUCCUAUAUUCAAACAUAUCAAGUUAACGCAUAUAAUAGAUAAAAACAUGUAGAAUUGGUAUGAUUAUUACCUUUCUUUUUACCACUUUUCUUUUUCUUCCCUUUAUUCUUUUCAAGGGAGACGGUCCCUCAUUUACUCUUUGGGCCUUUUACCACCCAAAGAAUUAUAAAUGAUAUUUUACCUCUCAGUGUGUCUGUAGCACAGUUAGUUGAAACUAGAGGGACCUCAUUGGCUUUUUCUUGCAUCCAGCUUAGAGAAUUAUCUGCUUCCAAGUCCAACUUAUCUAUAGCAUUCUCCAAAUCAACAAGAAGUUCUUUGGACAGUGAACACUUCAAUGCAUGCAUUUUCAAGCUUUCCUUCUCAGAUCCUUGUUUCUCAAUAUAGAAUCCUCUCUUUGCAUAUUUUGUCCAUCUGUUCAAUAUGUAUUGAGAUAGCAACAAGAAAACAUCGUUUGCAUUGAAGACUUUGAGGGCAUGCUUGCACAAUAGACCUAUAUGUGGAUAUCAUAUUUCAUUAAUUUGUAUUAUAAAUUAUACUAUUGCAAUAAAACUUUAUAUACGUACCCAUGGAUUCAUAUUUUCUGCAAGCACAUGUAAUGGUAAUAUCUGGUUUGUUGAAAACAACCGUUGCUCCAUAAUUGAAAACAACCGUUGCUCCAUAAUUGGAGUACAUAUGUGUAAUAUGUGUAACCUUAUAUGUCAAAAUCGACCCCUCAGUGUGUAACAAUUUACAAGAGAAUGAAAAUUGUUCAUUAAAUUCUUCCUCAAACUCUUUAUACAUCCUUCUUGUAUAUAACUCGGCCAUGGUCUUCAAAAGAAGUAUGUGUGCAACUGUGGUCUUUCGACGUGAUUGGAAAUCUUCAUCCAACUCAUUAUUACGAAGACUAGCAGAAACCUUGUCACAUUCUUCAAGGAGUUCUGAAAUACUCAGUUUCCUAUGAGAUCUUUUCUUGAAUACGUUAUUCAUACCUUCGCUCCUUUGAGUGGAGUUCAUAUCAACUGUAAAUGAGUCACGGUACACAGCAGCCCACUUUAUCCUCAAAUCAUAUAAGUUUAACAUCCAUUCAUUGUCCUUAAGGUUGUACUCACACAACAAUUCAUCCCACUUCUUGCUGAAGUAAAACUCAGAUCUGUCUGCAUAGACACAUCUCUUAAAAUCAGGAAGAAAAUUCUCUGGAUGCUGUUGAAUUACAUGACCGAGAUGUUUAGCAACAUUUAGAUAAAUAUGCCACAAACAAAGACGAUGGCUUGUGUUUGGGAAUACAUAAGCAAUUGCACCUGCCAUGGCCGCAUCUUGAUUAGUGAAAAUUGUGCUGGGAUGCUUGCCUGACAUUGUUGUUAAAAAGGUUUGAAAUAGCCAAACAAAUAAUUCAAUAGUCUCAUUAAAUAAUAAUGCAGCCCCAAAAAUUAUUGUAUGCUUGUGAUGGUUGGUUCCCAGGAGCGGAGUAAAAGUCAUUUCAAACUUAUUAGUCUGAAACGUGGUGUCAAAAGACAUGGCAUCACCAAAACAUGUGUAAUCCAUGAUAGAUUGACCAUCUACCCAAAAGAAGUUAGCCAUCCUGCCAUCUUCUUCAUCUAUUUGAAUGGCAUAAAAAAAUGUUGGAUCCUCUAGCUGCUUAUUUUUUAAGUAUUCCAACAAUGUUUGUGCAUCAUUUGAUCCUAAGUACUUUUUUGCGCUGCCGACCAAUCUUAUUGUUACAAUCAAUCCGUGAGAAUGGCACUUUGUCGGCUCCUCCAUAAAAUUGCACCAUAAACUCAAACACCUGGGCUGGCUUCAUCCCGCCCUCCCUCAUCUAGCCAAUUAGCUUCUUGUCCGCUUCUUGAAUACAUCGUUGGGACCUAAGCUUAUGUCUUUUAUUUGGACUUGCAAAGUAAUAGUUGUGAUCAAGCACAACCUUCUGCACUGCUCAAACCCCCUCCUUGCUGACACUAAACUGAAUACGAGCAUCGCAACCUGUCCUUGUAGUGUCCUUUGAUGACUCAAUUUGUCGAUGAUGUUGACUACUGCAAACUAUAUAUUUGAGAUAGAUACUGCCAUCUCCUCGAUGCUUUCUGUCGCUUUUUCUAAUAAUGAAUCCAAUCUUGCCUGCAAAGGUGUUGUAUAUAUCAUAAGCUUCCUUCUUGGAUUCAAAAGACAUUCUAACUUCAGGAACGAUGAAAUAAUUUUCCGUAACUUCAUCAACUACCUGUUGUACAAUGAGUCGAGAAUUAAAGGUGCCUUACAACAAUACAGACUAAGUAUCACUAGAAUUUGUUAUUCAUGUUGCUUCAAGUACCUCAUCUUGCGUUUCAUUCGCUAUUGCUUCUGUGGUGAUCGACUCGGUAUUCUGUGCGACCUAGCAUGUGCUCACGGAUCAGCAAUAGGCCGAGGGCAUGUAAAUAAAACCGCAAAAGAAAUAGGCGACUCUACCUGUGUUAUCUGUUGCUUACUGGCUCCAGGUUCUCCAACGAUUUGCAUAACGUGGACUGUGUUGGAUGCUUGAGUAGAGGAGGAUGGCAUCUGAUGAGAGGAGGGCGCAGUAGGUUCGAUGGCCGUCUGAUUCUCCUGUAGCCUGCAUGCGUCGUGCAGGGCAACGCCGCAACGGAACAGAGUUAACACCGCCGGCUGCUCGUCCUAGUAGAUGAGUUCGUCAAGCCAUCCUAGUAGAAUAUGCCCCGCUGUGGCUGCCAGGUCGCCCUAACUAAUGCGGGUACCAAGCCUUCUGCGAGCCUUGCGAAGCUUGCGAGCCGAGCUGAGCCGAGCGGGGCUGUCACGUGGGGCAUGAGCGAGCAGCAGGGCCCGGGCGCGCUUCCGAGCUGGCGAUCACAGGCAUAGGAGUCGAGCAGGACGCGAGCAAUCGGCAAGGACGGCGGAUGUUUUUUCGAUCCACGCGUCGCACAUCUGAGUCGUCCUGCACAUUUUUUUUCCGUUCCACGAGGCCAAGUACUCGCGAGCAAGGAUGAUGUUCGCGAAGACAGUCGGGCUGCUGUCCACGAUGGAUGACACGUACGAUGUCCAUGCCAAUUUGGAAGAGUGUUGUCAACUGAAUGAAGCCACACAAAGGUAGUAUGUUUUGAAUUGGAGACCAUUUAAUUUAUUUAUCAAAUGAUUUAGUAGUGCUAGAUUAAAAAUCAUCAUUACCUUCAGAUGGGAUGAAAGAGCCGUAGCUAUUUUACCGGACUACCUGCACAUGUUCUACACCAAACUGUUGGCAACCUUUAAAGAGUUUGAAGAUUGCUUGGCAGCUGACGAGAAAUACCGCAUGGCGUACGCAAUUGAAAUGGUAGGAAUGUACAACUGAAAGUGUAUUGAGUACAUACAAGCAUACGCGUGUAAGAAAUAAAUCGAAUAAACAAAUGUAUUAUCGAUCUCUGCUUCUACAAAAUUCAGAUCAAGUCGUUGUCCAAGCACUUCCUGGAGGAGGCGAAAUGGUCGAUGGAGAAGUACGCGACGAGCUUCAAGGAGCACCUGCAGGUGUCGGCCAUGUCAUCCGUGUUCCCUACCAUGGCUGUCUUGCUGCUCCUCGGCGCGGGUGACGACGUGGCGACCAAGGAGGCGUUCGAGUGGGCCGUCGGUGUCCCUGGCGUGGUCACCGCCGGUGCAGAGAUCACUCGCUAUCUCAACGACAUUGCCUCUUACAAGGUUUCAUUUCAUACCAUGCAGGGCUUGUAUAAGUUUGCAGCCGAUUAAUUGUUACUCCUAGAAAGCCAGUAGUUUAAUUCCUCAAGGACGCAUGCUUGCAGGUGGGGAAGAACAAGGGGACGUGGUGAGUGAAAGAUUAUCAGAGGGUUUGAAGCGUGCACUUUGUCUCGUGCCGCCUGCAUGUUAAUAUAGGCCAGGAAUAGCCCCUGGUGUGGCUUACAGAGAGGGAACGAUACAUGCUAGGAAGGAUCUCGAACCAUCACAUCCUAGUGCAAGUAACGGAGACGGCUCCUUCCAGGUUGUUGCCGUGAUCACAGAUUACACGGUUCCUAUCUUUGGCUAUCCUAACUAUGGCAACAACCUGAGGCCCACCAUAUACUUUACAAGUAUAACAGAUUUGUCUAAUACUCCCCCUCAAUCACAACUUCCCUAAGUUGAGAUGGUACUUGAAGUUUUCCAGCUUGCGUACACUUAGUGCCUUAGUAAAUCCAUCCGCCACUUGAUCCUCUGAAGGAACGAAGUCAAUCUGCAGGAGCUUGUUAUUUACCCUUUCUCUGACAAAAUGAAAGUCAACUUCAAUAUGCUUCGUUCUGGCAUGGAACACAGGAUUGGUUGCAAGAUACUUGGCGCCCAUGUUAUCACACCACAAUCGUGCAACAGGUGGACUUGCCACCUUCAAUUCCUUUAGUAACGUCUGGAUCCACAUAACCUCAGCAAUUGCAUUUGCCAAAGCUUUAUAUUCAGAUUCAGUGCUUGACCUUGAUACUGUAGCUUGCUUCUUGGCAUCCCAUGACACAAGAUUAUUUCCAAUAAAAAUUGCAAAUCUACUGGUUGAUCUUCUAUCAUCAGGAUAACCAGCCCAAUCAGCAUCUGAAUAUGCACUUACUAAAAAGGACCUUGAUCUAUUAAUUCUUAGACCAAGUUUGACACAAGAUUUUAGAUACCUUAAUAUCCUUUUUACUGCCGCCCAAUGAACAGUUGUUGGUGCAUGAAGAAACUGACAAACCUUAUUUACAGAGAAGGCAAUAUCUGGUCUUAUCAAUGUAAGAUACUGAAGGGCGCCCACUAUACUUCUGUAUCUCGUCAUAUCUUCAGGACCUAGCGGAACUCCUUCAUAGAUCGAAAGCUUCACACUAGUGGACAAGGGUGUACUUACAGGUUUGCAAUCAACCAUAUUUACUCUUCUCAACAAAUCAUUCACAUAUUUUUCUUGUGUAAGAAUAAUUCCAUUCGAGGUUUCACUUACUUCAAUACCAAGAAAAUAGUGUAAGUCACCCAAGUCCUUCAGAGGAAAUUCACUACGAAGAUCCUGAAGAAGAACUAUUACUGGUUCCGGUCUUGAACUUACCACAAUUAUGUCAUCAACAUAAAUCAGCAUAAACAUAAUGACAUCUCCUUUAAUAUAGUAGAACAGAGAUGUAUCUGCCUUAGAACCUUUAAAACCAAGAUCACAAAGUUUCUUCCUGAGCCUUGAGAACCAAGCUCUUGGUGCCUGUUUCAAUCCAUACAACGCCUUGUCUAGCUUGCAUACAUAGUCUCGUCGAGUUGGAUCUUCAUACCCAGGAGGCUGUUUCAUAUACACCUCCUCUUCAAGUAGUCCAUGCAAGAAAGCAUUAUGUACAUCUAGUUGCCUGAGAGUCCACCCUGGAUACAACAAUAGAAAGAACAACUCGAAUGGUAGUAGCUUUAACAACAGGACUGAAAGUAUCCUCAUAAUCAAUGCCAUAUCUUUACUUAAACCUCUUUGCAACAAGACGAGCUUUAUACCUGUCCAAGCUGCCAUCUUGUUUACGCUUAAUUUUAUAUACCCAUUUGCAGUCAAUAAUAUUCCACCCUUUCUAAGGAGGAAUAUUUUUCAUGAGAGCAUUAUAUUCAGUAUCCAUCGCCUGUUUCCAGUUGCUAUCUUCUAGAGCUUCCCCUAUAUUGCAAGGUUCACAAGUAGAGGAGAGAAGAGAAUAUUUGACUGUACCAUAAACCUUCUCCUUGCGAAUGCAGCUUUGCAAACGGGUCCUGGGCCGCUGGAUUUGCUGAACUUCUCCCCCUGCCGAGGGAGCCACAGAAGUUCUGGGCUCCUGCAGCACAUGAUCCGAAUCGGAUCCGGUCGGCACCUGCGCCGGGUCCCGUGCAGCAGAUGAGCCUUGCGCGAUGUCGUCCGCAGGUGGUUGGCUGGGCUCGGAGUUCCGGGCGGAUCCGCCAGACCCACUUGACGCCGUGGAUGCACCUGCCGCGUUCGUUGCAGGUGCGGGAGGAUCAGCCUCGAGGAGGGCGCCCGAGGAUGCUGCGCCAUGCGCACCUUCAUGUGUUGGCAUGUCGUCGUGCAUUUCUUCAUCAACUGCACAGAUAUUGCUAGCAGGAUUAUUUGGAAAACCAGUCACAUGAUCAGUCAAGUUACUAGCUCCUGUAUUAGUCGCGAGAGAAUUAAGCAAAAAGGAUGGCAAGAGAUUAAUUUCUUCAUGAAAACGAUGGCCAGCGCUGGGGCCAAGAUUCUAGAAAGGAAAAAGGGACUCAUCGAAUGUGACGUCACGAGAGUUAUAUACUCUACCAGAAUCCGGGUCAAGACACUUGAAACCCUGGUGAAAAGGACUAUAUCCGAGGAAGGUGCACUGUUUUGAUCGAAACUGGAGUUUGUGAUUAUUCUACGGUCGUAGGUUGGGCCAGCACGCACGUCCAAAAGUACGAAAAAGUGAAUAAUCUCGCUGUUUUUGAAAUAGGUGAUUUAGAGGCGUGUCAUAAGAGAGCACCUUGCUGGGGAUGCGGUUAAUUAAAUAUGUGGCUGAGAUGAAAGCAUCCCCCCAGAAUUUUAGUGGCAUAAAGGCGUGUGCAAGGAGAGCGAGCCCAACCUCGACGAUGUGGCGAUGCUUACGCUCAGCUGCGCCAUUCUGCUGAUGCGUGUGAGGGCAGGAAAUAUGGUGUGUGAUGCCGACUUGAGCAAAGAAAGGAUGGAGUUUCUGAUACUCGCCCCCCAGUCUGUCUGCAUACUGAUGAUUUUUCGGUUAAAGAGGCGCUGAACAAGGGAUUGAAAUUUUUGAAACUUUGAAAAAACUUCAUAUUUAAACUUAAGGAGAUAUAUCCAAGUGAACUUACUAUAAUCAUCAAUGAAACUCACAUAGUAUUUGUGUCCACCAACAGAAUUUGGCGCUGGACCCCACACAUCAGAAUAAACAAGUUCUAAAGGAUGCUGUGAAACAGUACUAGAAUUAGGAAAAGGCAACUGAUGACUUUUAGCCUUCUGACAUGCAUCACACACCGAAUGUUUAUUUUAAUCCAACGAAACAGGAAGAUUAAAUUGUCUAAUGACUUUCUCCACGAUCGGAGUAGCCGGAUGACCUAAACGAUGAUGCCAUCUAUCAAAGGAAACUUUUACAGCACUAUAAGCAUGCUUUAUUUAGCGCCCAGCAGGAAGAGGAUAGAGCCCAUGAUCACAGUGUCCUCUAAGCAGAAGUUUCUUCGUUGCCUGAUCCUUAAUCAAAAAGAAAUCAGGGUGAAAUUCUAUAAAAGCUGAAUUGUCAGAGGUGAGGCGAUGAACAGAUAUAAGAUUUUUGUUGGCUUUAGGAACAUAGAGGAUAUUUUUUAGAUGAAGAUCACGACUAGGGGUUGUAACAAUAGAAUGACCAAUGCGACUAAUUUCCAUACCUGCCCCACUCGCCGUGUGGAUCUGAUCAUGGCCCUUGUACCUAUCAUGAACUGACAGUUUCUCCAGGUUGCUAGUAAUGCUGUCUGUGGCGCCGGAGUCCAUGUACUAGUUGAUGUCUACUCCAUAGGAUGUAGUUGCACCUGCAUAUUUUUCAUCUGGUACAAACUCUUCAUAAAAUCUGUACCAACAAAUGUCAGCCUCGUGGCCCUUCUUUUUGCAAACCUGACACCUGGGCCUGCUGUCCGGCCCACGUGUGUUGUUGUUGGCGUCGUUAGGGGUGCCAUAUUGUUGACGAGGUGGCCCGCUGGAGCGCCCACGCCUGCGACCAGAAGACCCGCUGCGUGAGCGCCCUCCACCACCGCGUCCUCGUGAUGUGCCAUGCCCCCUACUGGCCGAAUUGACGGAGGAACGCCCGUUGGGUUGUAGCAGAUCCAUUCGCUGCUCGAAUGCAAGCAGUUGGGAGUACGCCUCUCCCACGCUGAGCGGUUCGAUCCUCGCGGUGAGGGACGUGACGAUCGGGUUGUAGUCGUAGUCGAGCCUAGCGAGGAUGUAGGAGACCAGUUCGUCGUUGUCGAUGGUCUUCCCAGUAGAUGUGAUCUCAUCAGCGAGAGACCGCAUCUUGCCGACAUACUCGGCCAUGGAGAGGUUGCCCUUCUUCAUCGUGGCAAUCGCAAUUUUGGUGUUGACGGCGUGCGCUCGAGUCAUCGAGGAGAACAUCCCCUCGACAGCUCUCCAUGUUUCAGUAGCAGUCUUGCAGGCGGUUAGCUGAGACUGAAUAGAACUUGACAUAUUUGAAAUUAAAUACCCUAGGACCUGUUGAUCCGUAGCAACCCAGUCUUCAUAGGCGGGAUUGGAGAUCUCCACUUCUUUGCCAUCCUUCGUCUCCUUGAUCAUGAUUGUGGGGGCCUUUGCUGCACCUGUGAGGAAACCCUCCAGGUGCGCGUCCCUCAUGGCUGCGAGAACUUGCAUGCGUCAUAGCGCGAAGUUGGUCUUCGUCAGCUUCUCAAAUACCCCUUGGCCGGUCAGGGGAUUGAUGGCGACGGUGGAAUAGGAUGUUGACAUGGUGGGGGGUUUGAUUGGAUUGGAUCUAAGUGUAGGGUCUGAUACCAUGAAAGAUUAUCAGAGAGCUUGAAGCGUGCACUUUGUCUCGUGCCGCCUGCAUGUUAAUAUAGGCCAGGAAUAGCUCCUGGUGUGGCUUACAGAGAGGGAACAAUGCAUGCUAGGAAGAAUUUCGAACCAUCACGUCCUAGUGCAAGCAACGGAGACGGCUCCUUCCAGGUUGUUGUCGUGAUCACAGAUUACACGGUUCCUAUCUUUGGCUAUCCUAACUAUGGUAACAACCUGAGGCCCACCAUAUACUUUACAAGUAUAACAGAUUUGUCUAAAGCGAGCUCCGUGGAGUGCUACGCCAUGGAGCACAGCGUGGCCGGCGAGGAUGUUGGCGGAUCAACGGGGCGUGCAUGGGCAUGGAGGCGGCGGUGCUCCCCGUGGCGCGGCUGAUGGUGAACCUUGGCGAGGACGAUGGAGGUCAUGUACCUUGGCGGCAGGGACGCCUACACCUCCGGCGGCGACCUCAAGGACCUCAUCACCCCCCUCUUCCUCGAGCCCGAAACCUCCUGAUGGCUGCUUAAGUGUUGCAGAAUAAUCAGGCAACAGGGUCUCACUGUUUGCUGGUUACUGAAGUUACCAAACAAGAGAAUUAGGAUAUGUACACUCUCUCGCCUGCAAAGUAUUUAGUUUCGAAGCUAAAAAUCAUAAAUAUUUAUGAGUGCCUGUACUGCGUUUCGUAACAGAAAAUAAAGUGUAUAUCGCCUGAACCCAUAUUUUGGUUGAAGCUCAGGUAGAUUUCCUUGCACUACGUGUUACACUUGUCCAGUGCUUCCAUAAUGAAAUCGAGUGAAAGCAUUGGGAAAGAAUUGAAAACAAAUGAAAUGGUUCCAUUUAUAAAAAACAAAUGAAAUGGAUUCACAUAGUAAAAAAUAUGAAGCCAUGGUUCCAUCGAGUAUUACAGGUCAAACCACUUAUGGAACAACUUCCUUUACUUAUCAAGACAAACAUUUAAAUCUAUCAACAGAAACAAGCCAUCCAUAACAAAGUAGCCACCAUUAUUUACCUGACAAAAGGACUGCUCACACAGGUUAUCAUUGCUAAUCGUGACUUACAUUCCACAUUAGACUCACUGCUUCCACGUAGCACUCCCUGAACCUGAAGUUAUCUCAGUGCUACACCAAAACUUUAUAGAAGUAGAACCGGCACAAAGAAAACCAAAACCAUAUUACCAUAUAUAUGCUUUACUCGCAAACCAGCAUUGGACAAACCAGGAUCAGGUGCAUAUGCAUACAAUAGGAAAGCAAAGUUCUAUAACUAUAAAGCCCUGUGCAAAAGGAUUUUACACUUGUAACACUCCCUCAAUUGCUGAAACACCACAAGCAAAACUAGGGUUGGCAGCUGCAGUUGCCUGUAGAUAACAAGGAUGUAAUCAGAAACAACCAGCAGCAUACCAUGCGACACCCCCAUUAUCUAAUGGAUCAAGAGGCCAGGUCAGGGGUGGCCUCCCCAAGGGAAAUGGAGGACAGCUUCUGGGUCAACAGAUCAACUAAUGAGCUCGCAUCAACAUUAGCCUUGAUAUUCUGGUGCACAGCCGGAACGUUCUCCUUUGGAGUGUCUGCAGCCACCACCGGAUUUGUCUUGUGAAGGCACGCUUCAGGUUCGGCGACCUUAAGAGGAUCUACUUCCAUUUGUACAGUUUUGAGGGGUACUGCCUUUGUCGCCUUGCUCUUGCAAGCACUGAUCUCCUUAUGAGGUGCUGCUACAGGUUUUGAUUCCUGUUGACAAAGGGUAGAAGAUGCCUGAGAGGUGGGUGUGGCAGGGUGUGAACACUGUAUCUCCGUAAGGGGCAGUUGUACCGGUGCACCAACUUUUUGGUCAAUGGAUUUGUCCUGAAAACAUACGCAGCCAGAUAGUUAGAAGCAUAUCGAUAUAGGACAUUUGCACUUCUGCGAGUGGAAAGAAGAUACAGAAUAAAAUGCACGUACAUGUUCUGGUUUGAUCACAACUGGACUGAUCCGGUGCAUGCAUGCUUCAGGAACAGCUACCUUAGAAGGUUCUACUUCAAUUUGUGCAGCUUUGAGAGGCAUGGCCUUACUUUUGGAAGCACUAGUCUCGUAAUGAGGUUCUGGUUCUUGUUCAACAAAGGUAGAGUUCGGUGUGGCAGGUAACAAGCACUGCAUCUUCAUGGAUUUCUCCUGAAUACAUGGACAGCAAGAUAGUUAGAAGCACAUUGAUAUAAGACAUUUGCACUAUUGCAAGGAAACAAAACAUAAAAAAUAAAAUGCACAUACAGCUUCAGGUUCAGCAACAACUGGAUCAGUUUGAAGUGUACAGGCUUCAGGUUCAGCCACCUUAAAAGGCUCCACUUCCAUUUGUGCAACGUUAAGAGGCAACGUCUUAAUUGCCUCGCUUUUGGAAGAAUCAUUUUCCUUACGAGGUGCUGCAUUCAGUUUCGACUCCUGUUGACCGAAUGUAGAUGAUGCAGCGUUCAUGUUCUGAAUAGGUGGCUGAGAUUUCGGUGUGGCAGGUAGCAGACACUGAAUCUUCAUAGGUUGCAGCUGCACCUGUACACCUAUGUUUUGGUCAAUGGAUUUUUCCUAAAGACAUACACAGAGAAAUUGUUAGAAGCACAUAAACAAAACGAAUAAACAUUAGUGCAAGGGAAAGAAUAAAACGUAAAUGCACGUACAGCAUCAAAAUAUCCUAUCUUGGGUGUUGGCCUUCGCAGCCCUGUUGGCUUAAAACCUUUUCCCUGGUUCAUUAGAUCUGCAGCAGAUUUUGAAUUAUCUCCACAUGCUGAAUCUCCCUCUGUGACAAUAGGAGGCCUAAGCUUUGGGGUCGGAGGGCAGUCAUUGCUCUUCCUGAGGGAGGGGGACAGUGUAUUCAAACUCUCAGAUGUAUGGCUCAUCUUCCCUACUGUGGAAGCUGUUGAGGCCCCAGAUAUCACAGAGCUCAUGCUGUCCACAGAGCUGCUAGGUGAAAUGAUUGGUGAUGCACGGUCAGUGUGACCCCUAGCUGCAAUCCUGUUCCCCGAUGAUCUUGAUGGGACAGUUUUGCUGAUAUCAGAUUUUGACGAUGAACGAACAGGGACCCUCUGAGCAGUCCUAUUCUUGUUGCUUAGGGUUGUUCUUGUUUUUGCUUCUGGUCCAGUAUCCGUCGAAACACCAUGGGAAGAAGCUGUAGUUGAUGUGAAGGCACCUGAUUUCAAGAUUGAACUGGACUUUGUACCCCCACUAGGCCGCACACUAGCUGAAGUAUUGGCAGUUUUGCCAGCUGCUUGCCUAUUGACAGCACCCCCUGAAAGAGGAAAUACAUAUUAGGCUAGGUAUAUAUUGAUCUUACGGGAGAAUAAAAAAUGUAUGCCAAUUCACACACCAGUGCUGCUUCUUUUGUCUGAAGUAGCAGAAGCGAUAGCAGUGUUAGUUGACGACCUCAUCAUAGCAACUCUUGGCAGAGCCCUAGGAGGUUUUGAGGAUGUUUUUGCUUCUGUAGAUCCUGGCAAAUUCUUCUCAACAAAAAGAGUAAAUAUGAAACUAAGAUCAGAACAUUACACAAGAUGAGCUUUAAAUAAACCAAGCAAGAAGGAAAUUGGUCUGACAAAAGAAACAUUACAAAACUUGUUUGAUUCUUGUUAUUAGGAAGUCAAUUAUGUGGAGCUCCAUAGUUAGAAAUCUAGUGAACAUAUAUCAUUAACCUUAUAGAAAAAAACAAGAGCCCAUCCUGGUCAUCGAGAUUUUAAUUCCAUGUUAAGUACAGAGUGAGAUUUGGUGAGCAAGAUCAAGAGGGAAAAUACUAGAUAUUAAAGAUAUUUCAAUUGCAUGUUCAGGUACAUUACUCAGACAUAAAUUUAGACGGGGUGGGGGUGGGUAUGUUGGCUUCUCAGACAAGGCAGCCUGAAGCCUAGCUAAUUCUACUCACAAGAAUUUCAGUCAAUUUCAAAAAUCAGGAUAUAUCCUACAUUUUUAUUUGCUUUGUUAGUAAUACAAUAAAUGUUGAAACAAACGCAGAUCCAAUUAUAUGUUAAUGGUUGAACUGCUGCAGAGGUCAUGAGUUCGUGAUUACUGAGUAAUUACAGACAUGGGGCAUACCACUCUUGCAGCUGCAGACUCUUUUGAGUUGACUUGGGACCUCUGUUUGACACCACCAACACCUUGGCUCGUUGAAACAGGGGCCCUUAUCUGAAUGUAAGAAAAUGUUAGCUAGCGAUUAAAGAUGAUCACUAGCCACAGAAAUUUGGCAAUAGAUACAAUGAAGUGGGUUGACAUACCUUAGUCUGAGGCAUCCGAUCAACCCCUUUUCUAGCUGGAAGGAGUAAUAAUAAUUUCAUCAGUUACCAGCAGAAGAUAAGUCCAUUAGAGUUGCAAUUAUUCAAUGCUAAGUAGCACGUUGUGUUGACAUUGGAGGCUUGUUACCUGCAAUACGAGGCACAUUUGCUGUGGCCUUUGGGGGCUUUGAGCUACCAGCAAGCCCCCCUGGAACUUUAUUGGGUUUGCCAAGAGACCUUUGGAUGGAGGCACGGACAUUGUCAAACACCUCAGUCUCUAGGCUUUCCAUUGCCCAAGUUUCAUUUUCCACAGUUGAGGUUGUCGAAUCACCAGACUUCCUCAUUUCUUCCACAAUUCCAGGCAGCCUGGAACCCUGUGUCUGGCAGAAGGUGCUGUUUACAAUGGCCAACUCCUCGGUGUCGAGAACACCUGUAAAGAUGAGGAAUUAUUAAAAGCUCCUAACAUCUGCAUCAUCUGAAUUUACUACAAGAGACAGCAGUAAUUUCAAAACAAAAUGGGGGAAGUCAGUAACAGGACACAAGAGUCUAUAACAAAUGGGGCAGUGAUUCAAGGGCAUUGUGCAGUCAUAGGGAUAACUCUAACCUUUAGCCAGUGAAUACGUGCAAGCCUACUACAGCAAGUGGCAACCACAAUUAUGACAAAACAAAAGGUCACAAUAAGAUUCAUGAGCAUUCUAGGCAGACAUGGCAGAACAUACAAGCCUGUAACCAAGCGCAACAACUGUAUCUAGGAAAGAAACAUCAUGGACGUUGACCGGGAUAAGACGGAAUCAACCUUCACUGGUAAAGAAUGCGCUGUCCCAAGCCAAGCUUUUGCGGAGGUUCACCCCAGUCUUAACCUUCCGCUGCUUAGGGGACUCCGUCCGCUCGGGGGCCGCCUGCUCCUCCAUCAUACCGUUCGGAUCCGCAGCCCGGCCCGCCGCGGCCGGAGAACCGGCGGCGGGGGCUAAAUAAGGGGCCGCCUCGGCGCCCACCAGGGACCCUAAAAACCAAAAUCGCCGCCCGUCAGAUCCACAAAAACGCAACAAAGGGCACCAAUCCCGCGAUUCCUCCAAGGCCCCAAAGGAAAUUCUCCCAAAAUGGGUCGUGGGAAUGGAAACCCUCACCUGCGUGUGUCGGAUCGGGGUGACGCGGCGGGGCCGGGGCCGGGGGGGGAGUGGCGAGGUCGAGGAGGAAGUCGUCCUCGGCGGAGACGUCGAUGAGUGAGAGCGCCUCCAUGGGCGCGGCGGAGGCCGGUGGGCGGUCGGAGGUCGCCGGAGGCCGGUGGGGAAACCCUAGAUCGCCGCCGGCGUGGGGGGGGGUGAGGAUCGGGGAGGAGGCGAUGCGAAUGCGAGGCGAGCUGGAGAGACGUUGGAGAUGGGGGGUGAAGGGUUCGGCGGCUGGGUAUAAAAAAUGUUUGGAGGAGGUGUGGUUGCGGCCCGCUGCGACUGCGAGUGACGCGUCCUGCCGUUUGGAGAUAGACUGACUGGUGGGGCCGGCUGGGGGUCUGUAGGAGGGUUUUGUAUCGCCUAGGUGAUUAUUGCUUUCCAUAUGGGGUGUGAUCAUUACACGGGCGGGAUGGUUUGAAUUUUCGGGCGUUUGGGCCGUGUUUCUCUUGGGCCUCCAUUUGAGUUGGACUUGUGGUCCAAGCACGCAUUGUUUACUGUAUCAACAACGGCCUGUUUUCUUUUUCCUCCCAGGCAGUCUAAUUAGCAGGAAACCAUACAUACGUGCGUAAACUACAAUACUUGUGUUUCGAAAUUAGUGGAAUGCAUUUUUUUUUCUCUAAGAGAGCUAUGUAUCUUUGUAUCACGACGAUUCAGGACGAAGAGUGUUGUAGGGCUAGGCGGCUAGCCCAAGACAACUUUUACAACGCGGUCUCUAGCAAAUGCCACGCAUAUAACAAAUAUUGUAUAAAACUACAGAAACUUUGGAUGUAUAAUUUCCAAUAUUUUGUACUGACCCUUGUGUGGUUUAGAUAGAGUGCGAUCCCAGAUGGAACCGUAUCGGAGAGAGUGCAAUCGAUCAACGCUAACAAAUUCCACCAUAUCCCAGUAUCCCACCAUAACAACCUGAAAUCCUCCCAUAAUAGUUGGAUCAUUCCAUGUAUUCCAAAAACAGGCGAUGAAACAUGCUAGCACUGGAACAUUUCCACUUGCUGCACAUCGAUGGAUGUGGCCUCUGAAAUUUGCAGUGGCGUCCUUACUAAAGAGGGUUGAAAUGUUGGCGUUGUGGCAGACAACCACGCACGGUAAGGCGCCAAUGAUUUUGCCUUGCAACAAGCGGGCAAACACAAUACCGGGCUCCGGGCUGUCCCGUGCGAAUGGACGUCUUCAGCAGUGGCAACGGUAAUAGCAUUACCAUCAUGCACGGCUAGGCCUGCACAAGAAAAGGGAUCCAUCGAUCACACACGCCCGGUUCCAUUUAUCUUGCUUUCCAGGAUGUGGCCAUGAAAAAGGGAGGGGAUUCAGUGGAAGGCGGGGCAUGUGGAGGCGUGGCGGUGGCGCCGCCUUGGCUAAGCGGCUCGGGAUGCGGUCUGCGAGUGCCAAGUUGAGCGCGUGCAGUGACGGAUUGGAAUGCUUCGGGCGAAAGCCCUCGCUGACCUUCGUGCCAGUGCGGAUGACGGCGGCAUCCUAGGGCGUCGUUUUUCUUGUUGGGAGCGUCAACUUGGAGCUACAAUCCUCCUACACAGGGUUCCUCCGGAUGAAAACUCUGUCCAGAUCCUGGACGAGCAACGGCGGCGCCAUUGGCGUCGUGCCCUCCUUGGAGGCGUCGUCUCUGGAGACCCGACUCGACUUGGCAUCGCGGAUCCAUUGGGCGGUAACAGCUGGUGGCGCCAAUCCCGCCGUGUGGCAAGCUCGAAGGGGGCUGCCGAGCUCACGUGGUGGCAAUCACAGUCAUGGUGGCGGCCAGGGGUCGUUGUACGGUUGUCGGUUGACUGCUUGCAGCGGAUCACGGUGACUGGCGUUGCUUGGCAACGGUCAGUGCAGCAUGGAACUGCGUCCGAGGACGGCGCUGGUGGCAACAACAUCGUGGGAUGACUAGGUUUGCAAUGGACCGUGGCGUGUUUUUCUGCUAGGCCGGGCUAUCCGGUGCGGUACAUCGUCGGAAGACAGCGCAAGCGACCGUGGCGUGUUUUUCUGCUAGGCUGAGCUAUCCGGUACGGUACAUCAUCGGAAGACGGCGCAAGCGAUGGACUUUCGUUGAAGUGGCGGCGAAGGCUAUGUGCGUGGGUGAAGCAACGAGGAGAGGCCGACUUGCGGCGGCGGCUCAGCUAUUUGAUGGAGAUCUGGGGAAGCGGGGCAGCAUCGCUCCCCACACUGACAACGAUAAAAGAAACGGAUCCGUGACAUGGAGUAACGGGGCGAGCGUGGCAAGGCCCCCGCAUGUGGUGAGAGCAAGAUGGAGUCCAACGGCGGAUGUGGCGAGGGCCCUCCCAUAUUGUGAGGCAGUCUGCGAGAGGUCUGGAUUCGGUGGUAUCACCCUAUCAGGUAGAGGGUGGUGUCUGUAGCGGCACUUCGGCGGAGGGUCCCGCAAGGCGGUGGCCUCCUCAAUGGGGUGCAAUCUGCUUCCAUCAGGUCCCUGUCGACGCAGGACUACCCAUGGAGGUUUCGGCGACUACAUGAGAGUGAUUGUUGGUGGGUGCUGCAAAUAUUAUAAAGACUUCGGUUCUACUGCCGCAGCGAGUGGGGUGGUUACCCGUGUUGACGUUCCAAUCCAACCGGGUAGCCCUUUCUUUGUCUUUCUUUUUUUUCUUUUUUUUGACUAUAGCCUCCUAGGAACGAUAGUCUUGUAUUACCUUCUCUAUUAAUUAAUAAAGCCCGGCAAUCUCUGCCGGGUCUUCAGUUUCAAAAAAAAAACAGACUCGAGUUUAAUUUGAUGAAGAUGGGAGAUGGCAUUGAUAGUAUCAAAUGCAUAGAAUCGUACUUGUUGAAACAGGAACAAAAACUUAUAAAUACUACACGACACAGCAUUCCUGGCACAUAUAGCUAUUUCAGGUUGGUCUAAACAUUCUCUCAUUAGAAUUUAGCAUAUGCAGAAACCCAAGUUCUUGGGAAAAAAGUUUCCCAAAGUAGUAGAAAGGUACAAAUAAUAACCACCACUACUAUCAUUUUUCAUCAGAUUUGUGAGUUGUGGAAGUAAUUAUCAAUAAGUUCCACACAAAUUUGCAUAUCGGAGCAAGUUAAUGUGAGUGUUGUUAGUAUCAUACCAAGGGUGAUUUAGCUGGUGGAACCCCAGAAAAUGAAACAGGAGAAAGAGAAUACAUAGAUAACGCAUCCACAAAGAUUUUAGUCCCAAAAUAGCAUAUUCAAUUAAUUAUUUUACAGAAAGACAUAAUUUUGUGCUAAAAGUGUAUACAUACUUUUCAGUUCCCAGAGUCCUCAUUGGUUUACCCCUGUUUGGUCUGCUCUCAAUCUUCAGAUCAGCAAUAAAAAGUCAAGGAUUCAGAACUAAUUGCAACUCACAAACAGAGAAUCCUGAGAGAAAUUUGAAAAUUCAAGAGAAAGUUCAUCCUGAGUAUCACCUUUGUCAAAUUUAAAUCUCUCUUCCAAAAUGCCACUAAAGCCUUGUAAAGUGUCCCAGGGCCUUCUUCAAGACCGAAAACAAUGCUUGUCUGGUACAUUAACAUAGCUAAUUUGCAUCAUCAAACACUUGAUUGGAAAAUGUAUUUGCGGAAAAAUAGCAAAACCAAGCACCUUAUAUUGGCCAUGUUCUUUGGGAAUGUUAGCAGUUCUGGCCAAUACCAGGUAUCUUGUGACGUUAGGCAAAGCGUCGUGCAGAAUUUUUGUUUUAUAGUGUGUUAGAUUUCUGAAUAAGGUGAAACUGAACAGGAACCAAAAGAGCAGGUUUAUUAUUACGAACAAUUCUAGACAAUAUUUUACAGACAAUACCUAUUUGCAAGGAACACUAUAUUUGAUAAAGCUAUUCUUGAUUACACCUACGUAACCUUAGGAUAUGCAACCUCAGAUCCCAACGAAUGUAGGUUCGAUUCCGACAAAUGUAAGUAUGUAACUAUGCUUGGAUAUCAACAUGCCAAUCAGAGAAGCAGCACUCCAGAUACCACAACCAGAUAACCUGCAAAACUGAUCUCUGUUGGGCUGCCUCUCUGCUCAAAUGAACCAACUUUAUGACAGAAGCUCAAAUAAACUUUUCUUGUGAAACAAUGAAACAGAGAUAAAGUAUCUGUUUAUUUAAUAGUGAAAAAAAAAGUUGACGAGAAAAGAUUACAUUUUGAGCAAUGCAUUACACUUGCUCAGUGAUUUGUGAUGUGCAACACUGAGGAAAGUGAGAAAGGAAAAUAAAUAAGAUGAAAUUUCAAGCUCUCAGCACAAACAUCUCAACCACAACGAAAGUACCCAUCAUUAUGUACCUCAUAUGUUGGAAAAGCGAAAAAAUUACUACCUGAAAGUUGCACUCCAGUAUGUUAAGUCCAUACAAUUCCGCCACACGAGCAUUGCCUAUAACUCCAGCAUCCCUCAAAUUUUGCUUGGAUAUAAUCUGCAAAAGGUAAUAAAAAUCACAUAUAGGAAAAAUCCAAUAUAUGACAAGGAUUCUUAAUGUUUUAACCAGUACCUCAGCACCAGCAGCUCCAUGAUCUACAUUUUUCUUUGAAACACCUAAAUUACAAAGUGAAUAUUCGCAUUGAGCAAGAUCCUGCAUGCGACACACUCAUAUGAUGAGGCGAUUGAGAUAAUGCUCACAAGAAUAAUGUAUGCUCUAAUUUUUAUCUAUUUGGGAGCUUUCCAUAUAAAAUGCACAUUCUUGUGUAUUUGGCUAAAAAAACUUUCAAAUACAUCAUCUAGGUCAAGGUGAUGGAGCAACCGAGCAAGACAGGCGUCCACACAUAAGCCUACAUGGGCAACAGAAACUGCUAGUUGCCAACAGAAAUUGAGUGUUCAGUUUUUAGCAUAACCUGUGGGUGGCUGAAAAUUGUCUGUAUAUCGUCCUUCUGCACUCCAGGUAAAGCCAGGAGACAUAGCUGUACAUCCAUUUGUACUUCUUGCACGAUUUGCAAAUUGUGACUAAGAAGCAAGUCAUAGCUCUGAUGAAAGCUUCCAAUAGAUGAAUUUUCUAUAGUAAGAACAGCUUUAUCGGCAAGUGAAGACUCAACAGCCUGUCAGCUUUCAAGUGAAUUAGAAUUGAUAGAUUUUUUUGAGUUCUUAGGUUACAUAUGUGUAAAAUCUCUGAAAGGGUGACAACCUCGAGUGCACCUUCAGACCUUUUGUGGGGAACUGCUAUACAAAUUGGGAAGGCUUUAAGCACCAUUGCCUCAAUGACUGUACCCGGUGAGCCCUAUAUUCAGGAAUCAGGAGAAGACGCAUGAAAUAUUAUAAACAGUUAAGGGGAAUGAUUACAGAUUAUACCUGAUAUGUCACACGGACAUUAGACCUUUCAGUAUCCAACGGCAGAUCAGUUGAAAGCAAUGGCCCUGGGAUGGGGAUAUCUCAGAUCAUGAAUACUUGUACAGACUUGCAAUGGAGCACAGUACUGCAUUUGCUGAAUGAAAAGCUUGUUGAAAUAGGAAUUAUCCUUUGUUUUUGUCUCAUUAAGAAUUGGACGCAUGUUACUCAAACCAAGAACCAAGUUAUGAGAAAUGAGCAAUAGAACACCAAAACUUGUGUUGUGUUGCCCAGGAUUUAAAUAUACACAAAUAAACAGCGAACACUCUCCAAAUAUAACUUCUAACUUGCAUCUCAUGACAGAUCUUACGAUUGUUAGUGUGGAACAAACUACAGCACAUAAGCCAAAGAACUAUCAAAUCUAGAAAUAUAUAAUAGAGGAAAAGAAUUAAUGUUCAUGUGUAGGUUUAAAUAACCAUAUUAACAAUUUUUUGUUUAAAAUCUUUAAAUAAUUGGUCCCAGUGUUUUAAAGGCGUCGCCUAGGCAUCCAGCAGACUAGCUCGCCUUGAAAAUCGGUCCACCUUGUCACCUAGGCGAUAAGGCGUGCAAAGAUUUCCAAGCUUGCCUUAUCGUCUUCAAAACACUUAUUAGUCCUCACAUGAAAAUGCUCAUACAGUUGAAUGAAUCUUCAAACGGUGAGGUCGAACUUACUACCAAGUAAGAGAUCAUUCGAUGCCCACUCCAUGAUUGAUUGAUAGAGCCGAAAGAUGGGCAGUCACAGCUUAGGAGGUGGGGUAAGGACUAUGGCCGGAAGGUUGCAGAACGAGAGGCUGGAAGGUAGCCAAGUGGCACUGGCGCGGCGGGGCGUGGUAAGGAGGGGGAUUCGGCAACGGAUCCGACGGUGGAACAACCCGUGGGAGGCCGCGAGGGGGAAACGUUGUUAUGGAGGUGGGGGCGGAGGACGCAGAUACGCCUCGACACUAGUGACAUAUCGACAAGUGGAUCCCGCAGCUGGUGGACCCAAAAUGUUAGUGACUAAGGGUCUGAUUGCUUUCCUGUUAGGGUGAGCCAGGCUCGUCCUGGGGAAAGCUAGGCUCCCGGUGGCCUGACCGAGUACAUGCGGGGCACUGUUUGGUUGUCUGCUUCUGUGCAGCCUGGCUGCUUAGAGUCGUUGACUGGUUAGCUGCACGCAAAGCAAAUACAUGCACAAACCAAAUCUUUCUUGCUCACCCGCACGCGCACGUCACACCGUCAGGGCCUGGCUCCGGAGAAACACCGAUUUCUUCUGCAUCUCGAGAGCCAUGCUCACUAGCACCUUUUGCACCGCGCGGGCUAGGUCCAAUUCCUAACGCGGGUAACCAAUGAAAGUAAAUUUGUAUCUGGCGAGCCUGGAUCAUAUCGCAUCCAGCUAACCAAUCAGACCCUGUAUAUCAUAGUGACAUGGUGAUGUAUGCGUCAAAAUAAUGACACACUGUUUAUUUCACCCUAUUUGCUUCUUACACAUUAAUACAUCAUCGUUGGGCGAUCGAGGCGACGGAGGCGUCGGGCUUCAAUUGGCGCGGUGAAGAGUGGUGGCGAGGUAUGAUCACAGUGGUAUAAAAGACCGUCUCGUGUGGGGGAAGACGAAUUCUAAUUUCAUCAAGACCGUCCGUUUUAGGUGGUUAAAAAUAUCGAAUACAGCCCCGCCCCAUUUCUAUUUGUACCAACUUAAGAUGGAAAAAAAUUUGGUGCAGGAGGGAUGCAAAGCGCUCUCCAUGCAGCCCUAUCCCCGAUGUGCGCCGCGUGUCUCCCGAGAAGAUCCAAUGACCCGCCUCCUUUGCUUUCGGUCGUUCGGCUCCUUCAAUCCAGGGCUCGGCUCAGGCCCCUGCAUACAGCUCUUUUUCCCUGCCCUACAAGCCGCGGUUGUGACAUUUCCCCUGCUCGUCGUCAUCCCCCAUUCCUCAUCCUCAACAUGGCUAGGCCCGCCGCCACCAUCCGACCAGGGCUCCCCGAUGCUCGAUUUUGCUCAGGACGUCCACACGCUACCGCCUUCCUCCUCGCCGUCAUCUCACUCUGCAUCCAAGGCCCGCUCGUCGGCUGCAGCAGAUGGACUUGCCUCCGGGUCAACGUGCUGAACUUUGACCAGACCGAAGGCGCCCGCAUUGCGUAGGACGGGUAGAACACCUGUACAGUCAGGCAAUCCAAAGGAGAAAGUGACAACACUAUAAUACAGUAGAACGUUAACUGAUAGUCUGUAAAUGAAGUUCAGAUCAUUAACUGUAACACAUUUAUGUUUCAUGAAGGCUCGUUUCAAGAAUUCGAGAAUGGACGCUCAUGUCUAUGUCUACCCGAUUCUAAACUUGUGGAAUUAUGCAGGUUCUCCUGGCCAUAAGAUCUCAAGGUGGUUAGCUUGCCGCUUUACUUGCCCAAUGUGCCACAGCAAGGACCUGUAGUCUCAUCCUGACGAUAUGAUGAAUUCUGAAGAGAUUCUUGCUGUGAGUUGAAGGAAGCAGAUCAUCCUAGAUGCGUACAAAUAACUACAUUAAUCAAAUAAAUGUAGCAUAUGAAUGAAAAUCACCACUUGUUAGAUCCUACACACCCAUGUCAAAUACAACUAAGAAACAACAAGUUCCAUUGUUCCAGUUUUGAUUGCAAUUCGCUCUUGCAUCCCACCUCCCAACCCAUCGAUGCUUUUUGCAUUUGCGCUAGGAACCACCGGUCAACAAGGAAGUGGUAGCCCUAGCGGAUGAGCCGCAUGUCCAUCAAUGUCGAGCAACUCCUAGUCUCGACGCUGGGACAUGGGCACCGACCACCGGAUCUGCACCACGGAGGUACCAGGAACCGCCACCGUGAAUGUCCACGGACUGCAGGAAGUGGAGUGCACGGGAGAGGUCCUUCUUCCCGAUCGCGGCCUCGAACUCACGCUAGCCUACUGGAGGUCGCAACGGACUACAUAUCCAGCAGCGUCAAGAGUUAGAACGAGAGCAGGACGGUGCUAAGCCGACUCAAAGAGCCGAGCCGUAGGAGACUAGAGAAAUUUCUAGGCACAUGUUUUAUGUUUGGGAGAGCCGACCUGAUAAUGCGUGCUAAUUCCUAUUGGAUCCUGUGGAAGUCCACGCGGCGCACAUCUAAGCAACGGCUGUAAGAAGGGUGGUUUACAGCCCUCCUGCACGGAAAUUUUUUCCACUUAAGAUGCCCUGGACGAUGAACAUGCAUAUACGUACGUACCCUUGACCGGAAGCUUCGCGGCGCCGGGCGUGGUCCUGGCAGCCGGCACGACAGAACCCGGCGGCUGCGCCUCGCUGCAAUAAUCGCCGUCGUCCAUCUCCGCACGGGCUGCUGACCGUGAGCCACCUGCCCGUCGUGACGGUGAUGGUCUCCACCAGUUGGUUCUCACGGUGGGCGACGAACAAGCAGCCAGCCGCAUAGGGACGGCGGCGGCGGCAGCCAUGGGAGCCAUGGAAGGGGUAGCUAGCCUUGGGGAGAGACAGCAAGGUAUGCGCGUGUGACGUGCAAGGAGCCAAGGACACCGAUAGCUGUGAAUGAAUCCGUUUUCCGUUGCUAGCUCCUCGGAAAGCUUUUGGCUCCAGCAGCUUAAUCGCAUUGAAUCAGUGGUGCAUGCAUGAGCUUUAUCGUUUGUCUGCUUGCUUCAUUGGGUGGCUCUCCCCUGGCGUGCUGUGUAAUUGGAGUCUUUGGCGAGGUGAUGGGUAUAUGACGGUGGAAGUGACUUGUCAUUUGACAAGUGCAAAAUAAAGUGUGCGUGUUUUGAGGACUAUAUUUUUGGUGUCUUUCGCGUAUUGGGCACGGGAAAGUUAAUGGCCAUAUUAAUCGAUUCACGCACCUUGAAUUCGCACCUGUUAUCUGUUUUUGCUAUUUGGUCUCACUUUUCACGAUCUGUUACGUGAUCGAGCUUUUUGUAGAGAGGAUCCAUCGCUAGUGGGAUUAGAGGUGGCCGUAGGGAGCUGGCGAGCAAGCUGCCCUCGCCGUCAGUCCGUCACCGUACAACGUCGUCGAUCGACCACCGGCGACGUGGGCGAGCCCCUGACCCGGCCUGCUGCCAAGCUCCUCCGCGGGCGGCGGCCAUGGCGCGCGCACGAUCCUUCCGUCCUUUUAUUCCCAAAUUCAGGAAAAAAGAGGGGGGGGGGGGGGGGGGGGGGGGGGGGGUCGCAGCUUAUGCUGGUGCAGCAUCUGGUAUUCUGGCAGCUGUCCCGGUUCGACCCGGAGCAGCACCAGCAGUCGUCCGCGCACGCCGACCGGGACCACGCCACCAUCGCCCCCGCAUCACCAGGAAUCGCCAUGUCCGCCGGCGUCCUCACCGGCACCGGCGCCAUGUCAGUCCGACGUACACCUGCUCGCCCUCCGGUGCCCGACCUAUGCAUCAGGUUAUUACUUAUAAGUAUAACUUAUUAUACAUUACGAUCGAAACGGGGGUGCAGGAAUUUUGAUGUAUGAGCGUAUAUACCUCGAGCUUGUGUGGUUGCCACCAGGAGGAGGAGGACGGCGGCGACGAGGGAGGCCAUCUUGAGGCUAGGCGCCAUGGCUGAUCUCGAUCUGCUGGGAGGUUCGCUCCCUCGUCGUCCCUUUGCGAUUUGGUAUACUGUUGCUUUUCGUGUGUGUAUAUAUAGAUAAACGUACACUGCGAAAGGAGGCGGCAUUGUAUAUCAUGAUGCAAUGCAAACGGAAGGUUUUCAUUGUUUACUUCAUUUCUGACUAUGUAACUGGACAAGUGUUUGUCCAGAUACUAGAAAUGCAAUUUUUUCGAGAUGGAGGGAUUAAUGUUUUCAUUGAAUUUGCCAGUCCAUACAUUACAUUAUUACUGCUAAAACGGGAGUAGUAUAGCUUGCGCCCGGUAAGCUGUCUGUCUAUUUGUUUUUCUGGGUGUGCUUAUCUAUAGCACCGACUUUAAUGCUUUCUAAAUGGAGUACUCCCUCCGUCCUAGAAGAAAAAAAGCAGUUUUGCUACGAAUCUGAACAAACGCUUGCCCAGAUUCGUAGCUAUAUAUAUAUAUAUAUAUAUAUAUAUAUAUAUAUAUAUAUAUAUAUAUAUAUAUAUAUAUAUAUAUAUAUAUAUAUAUUCCUUGCGAUGUAUCUAGGCAUAAUGUAAAUCUAGGUGCGUAGCAAAAGCUACAUAUUUAGAGAAAUUCAAAACGAUUUAUAAUUUAUAAUUGAGGGAGUAGUUUGUUGCAUUCUAAAGAUUUUAAACUUUAUAUGCUGCCACGGUUCAUUAAAUCUAUUAUGUUGUGUGGCCUUAUUCGGGGGCGGACCCAGAAUGGGGCUACGCCCCGGGAUGAGCUGCUAAUUCACAUCCAAAACAGUAUGAUCUUACCUUCUGAACCUUCUUUUCUCUAAUCGAGAUUGUAGUUUUUUAAGCUAAACACCACAUAUGUUAAAGGGGCUACAUGGGCUGAACCCGGGCUGCAGCACCCUAGCCCGGGGUCUAGAUCCGCCCCUGGCCUUACCUCUCGAUAUCCUCUCUCGUCUGGCAUGGUCUAAGUUUAAGACCCAUGGAACAGGAGGCGAUUAGUUAGCUCUGAAGAUGGUAGAUUCUCCAUUCAUCACAUGAAGUCAAUCAUCAUCAGGGCUUAUAGUAGAGAAGUACUAGAGAGCAGAGCAGCGGCCCAUACACGGGCAAAGCACAUGCAUGCAUGGUUGAUGGGCCUGAGAAAGGGGAGGAGAAGGAAGAAUCCUAGGUUGCUUACAUCACUUGCAUGCAAAAGUUAGUUUGAAUAGAAAAAAAAACUAUACAUCUUCUACAUCUUCUAUCAUCACAGUUGUUUCUUAAGAUAAGAAAAGUAUAUCGCUGGCAUCACUUGUAAUUUUUCUGCUGCGGGCUUGCACCAUAGAAUGAAAUUCUCUGGAACCUUUGGUGGUCAAAACGGUCAGAUGGCAGGUGGAGAAAGAGGAAACCUGGACCUGCAUCUCCUUCGUACGGGACGAACGGGAACGGGUCGCUAGGCGUCGGUCGCUUUUGGACCCUCGCAACAAAGAGAAACCUCUCGCGCGCGCAACACGCAUAAGGAUCUUGUUCAGUUACCUCAAAAUUCCAACUUUAACACCAUACAAAAAGAAAAUUCUCCAUAACAUCAAACUUACGGUACAUGCAUGGAGUACUAAGUGUAGACGAAAUUAAAAACUAAUUGCACAGUUUGGUUGUACUUUGCGAGACAAAUCUUUUAAACCUAAUUAAUCAAUAUUUGGAUAAUAAUUCAUAAAUACAAACAAAAUACUACAGUAUGCUAUAAUAUUAACACAGCAACUUGCCCAAAAUCAAACAACUAAACAGGCCCUAAAUCUCCCGUGAAAGAACGGAACACGCCACAGGCCACCGCCACACCAAGAUCACGUCAAGUACUCGUAGAACUCGUUGCCGGCCGGCGCCUGACGAAGCAUCACAUCAUCACCCGCUCACCCUUGCCUGCGUCUUCUUUUUCGCUUACCCGUAGGACCAAAGGGGGAACCGAUCCUCGCCGUGCUUACGCUGUUUCCACUUUCAAGAGGAAAAUACACCCUCGGUGCAUCAAACAAGUGUCAUCCAGGUUCCGAAUUCUCAAAAUGCACAUUUAACUCUCUAAAUUUACUAAUCGCUUCACGUGAUUCAUAAUCCGCGUUAAACACGUGGCACGCUGAUUGGGUUGCUGACAUGGACAUGACAUGCGGAGCCCACAUGGGGGGGGGGGGGGGGGGGGGGGGGGGGGGGGAGGAGCGGGAGGCGCCAUGGAACCGUCCGCCGCGGCGGAGCUAGAGGCCACGGAGAGGGUGGUGAUGUGGUGGGACUCCACGACGUCGGCGGCGUCCUCGGGCGGCGGGGACGACCCCGAGGACGAGCAGGCGAUGCUAUUCGACGGGCCGGCGACCGCGCGGAGCCGCGAAGGCGAAGCGGUUCCUCUGGGCGGUGGACGACAUCCGCUACCUGGCGCUGCCGUCGUCGGCGGGCUGCGCCUGCGCCGCCGUGCAGGUCGUGAUGGCGCGCCUCGAGAAUGGAAGUGGCGGCCGCAUCAGCUACUGCUCCAUGCCGAGCAUUCGUAAGAUCGACCCAUUCCCCGCGGACGCCAUCUCCGACCUCCACGCGAGGACCUUCCGGAGCCGCCAGAGCGGAGCACUGCCGCCGGCCCCUCCGUCUGAUUUCGCUGGCACCACUGCCCGUCGGAGGAAGCAGUGGCCACGGGAAGUUUUGCUGGGACAUCGCGCACCUCCGCCGCACCUCGCCGUCGACAAUUUGCCGCCGGAGCUCUUGGUCCGUCCAGCGCCGCCGCCUGGAGCUGGAGAAGCAGACCACCGCUCUUCCCCGACCGAUUCGUCGUGUACGAUGCAGCAAAGAGGGUGGGACGGUCUCGAGCGGUGCGGCGGGAGUGGGGGCGAUGGCAACUCUGAUCGCGCGCAGCGGGGGCAACAACAACUCCGAGCAGCUCCGACGGAGAAGGGGCUCCGCGCGCCGUCCACCAUCCGUCGGAGUUCUGCGACGCAGUGGAGGGGGUGGUCCUGAACGGCGUGCCUCAAAGGCAGGCUGCCAAAGCCGACGGCAACCGGUAGCGCGGCCCAGCGCGAGCGCACGCAGCCUCGCCGGAGGGGGGGCGGUCGGGGUCGCGGCCACUACGGGCGGACGGCGGCGAUAGGCCGGGGGUCGUGAGCCUGCGCGAGAUGGCGGCGGCGGCGGACGCAACCCCGACGGAGGGAACGGUAGCCGGGGCCAUUGCCACUGCGGGAGAACGACGGCGGCGGCCGGCGGCCGGGGGUCACGGGCCGGCGCAAGCAGAUGGCCGCGGUGGCCAUGGUUCACUGCGAUGGAUUUUUUUUCUUUUUUCUUUCGUUAGAAAAUGUGGGCCAUGAGAGCAUUAGAGAAGAGAGAUUGGACUGAAAUGUAGGAUCCACGUGUUACGUCUAUGUCAUCGUCCAGUCAACAUGCCACGUGCGUAGUUUUAACACGUGUUAUGAAGAUUUAGACAUUACAUGAACCGAUUAGCAAGUUUAGAGAUUCUAAUGUGCAUUUUGGAAGUUCGGUGGCAAGUUUAUGUACUGCCCGUGUAUUUACUCCCACUUACAACAAGAUUUGUCUAGACUCCAGUUGACCGUAGUGGUCUGACGACAGUACUCCGGUGUGUAGAUGACCUAGUACUAGAUGCUUUAUGCUUUGGGAGUGAUAAACUAAUGAGAACGUCUCUCUCUGAAAUAGUGAGCUGUGAUAAAACAGUAGUUACAAAACUCCCAAAUCCAGAUACAUGAUUUUCCAUGCUGCUAUGAUGAUACAAAAGUUUGACAUGGUAGUACACUCUUUUUUCUGUUUUUGCAAAUAAAUUUGAAUUAUAUUAAACUUGGAAAAGUACAUCCCGUCACAGGAGGAAUCGUAAAGAGGGAAGAAACUACAGCCAGGUUGUCUUCUUCUCUCCCGGUGCUCCCCAUCAGUCGCCGCCACUCCACACAACUUCAUUGAAGAUCAGUAAGCUGAUGAGGGAUCCCAUCCUUGGACAUUUGAAUUUGGUUAGGUUCACAAAUCUUUCUAUUUCGUCUGUACUCAUACCGUGGUGAAAAAGGUGAGAAAUGAAUUGGCUGAGUACUUGUUUCUGUUGGUUUCCAAAGGACCACAUACGACGAUAGUUCUUGGUUCCACUAAAAAAACUGAAACGAUACAAACGUUUGUUUUUGUCCUUUUCAUUACGGAUACGGGAGGACCACCUUUCUUUCACUAAAAGAAAAGCUAGACAUUUUCCACUGGCCUCUGGAAAUAAACAAGACAAAUGCUCAAAAUUUACCGAAAUCCCAUGGCAAGAACUCUGGGUCUCUGCCAUGCGCCAGUAGAUGUUCCUUCCAGCCACACUAGGCGCGGUGGCCGAAAUCUGCAGCCCCAUUUGGGACAGGGAGGAAUGUUUGUGGCGAGCAGGCGAGCAGCCUUGCCGCGGUAAAGCCUACGGCAAGUAGGCCGAUGAUUCUGCCCUGCAAAGCGCGGACACGGAACACAGGGAUUGCAUCUGCACUGCAUGCAAUGCAAAACAUCUUUAGCAGGCUCAGCAGUGGCCACAGCCAUCAUGCAUAGUAGGCCUGCCAGCACGAGAAAAAGGAACCAUCGAUCCCAGCAAAAUGCACGCCCUUCCAUUCCAGCUACCUCCUCGCUUUCACGGUCAAAUAUCUCAUAGUACUACGUGCUUUGUACUUUCAGAUGCACAAGGUAAUCAUCCAUCUCAAAGCAUACGCAAAAUGUGCAUAAACUUCAGGCAGUUCAGGCCUGUUUGGAAGGAGGAAAACGCAUGAAUUUUGGAGGUUUUCGUUCCAGAGGAAAGGAAAGCAACGAACGCGUUUGGAAUGGAGGAAAUGGCAAGAAUCUUUCCAGAGGAAAGGCGACAGAACCUGUACUUUUGGAUGAAGGAAAGAAUGAGGUCAGAGCCAAGGGAAAUCUUUCCUGUGACGAGCGCGCGCGUGCCGCCGCACUAAUCAGGCUUACCUGUAGUUCUUCUUCCUCAUCGGUCUGCGACCGUACCUUCCAGUAAGAACAAGAACUCCAAACCAAAAAAAAUCAAGAAACAAGAGUAACAAACGGAAAGAAGCACUCAUUUGUCCUCUCAAUAGAAGGAAUCAGCAAUAGUUGCACAAAUCUUCCGAACAGUUCUAGACAUAGGGACUCUGAAUCUGAGGAAAAAAGAAAGAAAAAACAAAAUCCCCACCAUAACAGAAAAGAGCAGGGACGAGAAAGAAGUUCCUCCGGGCACAAGCCAUAGAUUCGAGCGCUCGCCAGUCAUCACCAUGCUAGUUCUCGUGGAUCUGCGGCCGCGCACAAAGAAACUGAUCGGAAUGUGUUUGAGAGCAGGUCUGUGUGUGUUCGGUGGAGAACGAUGUCAAAGGUUCCAGAAGAUAAAGGUCGACGGUGUAUAAGGGCAUGCACAACCCACAGAGGGCUGGCCGUCUGCAAGAGCCUCGAAUCUGAUGUACAGACAGGACAGCUAGAGAGACAGAUCGUGCAAACGAACUGUUUAAUACUUUGCAUGUAGCCAAGAUCAUUCAUAAAUAUUAUUUUGUGUACCAUUAUAUUGCUAUUGAAUAUGUACAUGUGUUCGGUUCACUAUAAAUAAGACCACGGCAAGUAAAAAUUCUCUUUCACAUAUAAACCAUCAUCUGUACAUAUAUUGAAUCUUCAAUGAUUACUAAUAUCCACAGGUGCUGAAAUUACUAUCUAAUAGAACAGCAAUGGAUGAUUCAAGAGCCACUCAAUUUGUAGAAAAAUAUUUUAGGACUGAGAACCGAGUGUCAUUCAGUUCAUCUAUAAUUCAUGCAAGACAGGCAUAUAAACUUUUUGCAAAAGAACAUCACUAACAAAAUCAUUCCACCAACAAAUUAGUGCAAAUGCCAUUCAGUUUUCUAUAGAAUAGAGCUGAAACUGAACUACGAUCACCAAAAACAGAACUGCAGUUUUCUGAAAAAUAGAUAAGAGGAAACUAAGUUCAAUAAGAGGGAUAGAAAAAAUAAGGUUUCUCACACCUCUUUCUUCUCCAAUCUUCUCACUUCUCAUGAUAUUACUAUGUAAUAUAUAUGUGCAGAACUGAAACUAUACACACAAUUGCAAUCAGAACAAAUGAACAACCAGGUAAGUUAUACACAUAAUUCCAGCACGGAUUCUCCUCCCUUGCUUGCGUUCUCCGUUCCCUUCCUAAUCGUGCUGCCACUGGAAUCGAUCCAAGAGAGCAAGGUGGUUGCACGAAGCCACUAAAGAUGAGGAGAAAUCGGGCUGGCUACCAGUGCAUCCUCGAUUGCUGUCGAAUGGGGAUAAAUCAAUGGCGCCAGAUGAAGGUGUGGAGAAAUCUUUCGCCACCAAGCCAUUGCCUCCACCCGUGAAGGUUGGGACCCCGCCGCCAUGACUACGUCCUUGCUCUUCCUUGCCGGCACCACGCCCUAGCACUCUUCCAUCACCGCGCGCUCAACUCACUGGGGGAGAACAAACACAGAUGGAGAUGUAGUGGAAUAUAUAUGGUAGCGGGGAAGGAUUUUGGCGCCAUGGAUCAGCCACCAAGCGCGGCCGUAGCUGGAUCCCGAGCGCGCGUAGCCUAGAGACGACGCUCGUACAACGCUGCAUCUGCCAUCGCGUGAGCCUAGGAGCACGAGCCGCAGUCGUCGCGACGACCCCACCCGUCUCCAAGUUUGCAAGGGACGUUUUUGCAAAAUAUACGGUAUACAGACGGUGUAAUUAUUGCCGUUGUACAUGCCCUAACGUGCUAGCUAUGGAUUCAGUCCAUGGACCAUGGGCCCACGUGUAAGAGGGCGAGUGACAUACUAUUUGUAGUCCUAGUACAUAUUAUUUGCUAAUUAAUGCAUUCUCAAAGUACUAUCAAAUUUAUCACUUGUGUAACUAUCUAAUUCAUGCGUCAUAUGGCAUGUUCGGCUGAACUUAUAAGCUGGCUAAAAAGUUGAAACUGCUGAUUUGUUGUGAGAGAAAAAUAUUGUUCGAUGGCUGAUAAGCUGAAGCGAACAGAGCGAUAGAUUCCUACGUCCCAAAAACCAAACCUAUUCGCUUCCUAUGUUUUAUGUUUUUCCCAUCCUCUUUUGCCACUACGGUCAUAUUCCUUGCCUAUAUUCCUUGCCUGUGUUUUUUUCAAUUCCUCUGUUUUCAAUUCCUACGUUCCAAACAGGCUUUUUUUUUUUCCAAUUCCCGCGCUCCAAACAGGCCCUCAGAUUUCGUCUUCAGAACUGUUCCAGUGCCAUAUACGCGCCUUGUGUUCUUCCAUCCACAAACCUUUUGCAGAAACUAGAGGAGAUACAAAUGACAAUGAUGCACGUGCCAGAACUAGCAAUGGAAUUCUUGCAUUUUGGUAGUACUACCAAGUUUUACAACACAUUGCUGAACAAUCAAUGAAAAGAGGAACUGGUGAAGAGAGAAAUGAAAACGGCAGGCCUAGUUUGACACUCUCUAACUCCCUGUCUCUCUGGCAUCUAAACCGCCCUAAUGGCGAGGCACAUCCCAGAUGCUUGGUAAUUACAGAUUCUGGGGUAAUGGUCUGUGCAUAGAUUUCACUCACACAAUACCACUAGAUGGAUCUCAAUUUCUAGGUCUCCUUGGCUUUACCCUUCUUGGAUUUGGACGACUUCUUGUCAUGGUUCUUGGAACCGAGGCUGUUCACCCAGGUGUAGUCGCUAGGCACCGUGAAGGGGUCAGCGUUGUCCGCGACCUGUGAUAGGUUUGCGGGCUUCGAUCUUGAGCUCUUCGAGCUCCACUUAAGGUAGGAGCUCUUGUGGGUGUCGGCCUUGGCCAUGAUGCUUCCUGGCCCUGGGCUCGCCAAGAGGCUGGGGCUCGACAUCGGUGUGAAGAAUUCCUCCGGCUCAAUGAGGGGGACAAACUUGGUGAAUGUGAUGACCACCCUCACCGUCGGCACAACAGGGAUAGCAACCUGCAUGGACCAUGAAACCGAUCAAUCAGCUCAAGCCACAGAUAUGGUAUUACCCCAAAGCUGCAUUGUAUCUGGGAGUACAGAAAUGUUCUAUGAACAAGAUUAAGCUUCCAAGAAUAGCAAAUGGUGCACAUGGCCUUCAGAACAUGAUGAUAUAUGCCAAGAAACAGCAAAAGGUGCAGACAGGUUGCUACGUUUCAGCAACUGGUGGUGUCUGCACUUUCAAGUGAACACCACUUUUGUGAAACAUUGAGUAAACUUCAAUGAUAAGUGCUCCAUGCUGUAUGCCAAAUCAGUUUCUACUUUCCAAUGCGGCAGGUUUAGUUACUUAUCAAAGCUUUCGUUUAUCUUAGAAAUUGGCAAGCAUUCAUCAAACAGGACAGUUGCCUCUUUCCUUGUCCUCAAUGUUCGACGCAUAUGCAGGUGACUGGUGAGUAACUGCACUGGGUUAAAUCCCCUUAAAUUCGUGCCCUACAUUUACUCAGGUCGAAUUUGUACUAUUCAGUAGGAGUACUAAACAGUGAAGAACCGUUGCAACUAUCAAUCUCCACAGUUUUUGACUUUUUUCUUCCCUGGGGAUUACUCUCCACAGGUUGCAGGCCAGUACACCACCAAUUCUGCAUCAACUUCCUAUGUCAUUGCCACUAUGACAGCUGAACUGCCGCAAUCAUAGCAAUGAAGAAUCACUAGGCCUUAAAACUCUCUGGACAAGAAUCUGCAAGCAGAUGUGGGGUGAAUUGGGGAUUAUACAUCCAUUGAUUUGCCUUGUUCAGUUGAGUUAUUACUUAUUAGCACAUCAGUUGUGCUGAACUGCUGAUGCAUUACCAUUACACGAAAACUGAUCACAACACUUUGUUAAAUUCCGAAGCAUUCGGAAUUACUCGCAGGAUUGGGCAACCAUUGACAACUAGAACAAAGAAACAUAAGUAAUUCUGUGUCCUUGAUUGAGCAGGAGAGCAGAAUCAGUGCUGUUACCUUCACGGGGAAGGUCCCUGGUGGGAACUUGGUAGUGAGCAGCUCGCGGAGCCGGCGCACGGCGCGCACGCGGCUGGAAAGGAUGUCCAGCAGCGGCAGGAACUCAUCGACGCUCAACGGGAAGUCCUCCGUGAGCCACACCGACGGCCGCAACGUCUUCACCGUCUCCUCCUCCUUCCACUUGGCACCCCCCGUCGUCGUCGUCCCUGAGUGCCGGCCGAAGAUGCCGUCCUCGCCGCGCCCCACAGAUGCGCACGCCGGCAGCCGCCGCGGCACGUCCACGCUGUUCCUCCGCCUCUGCGGGGUGCCCAAGUGUGAGGGCGGCCCCGCCACGCUGCGCCGGCCUGGCACGUAGCAGCUGCGCCGCGCCGGCGGCGGCGGGAUGUCGGCAACCAGGAAGUCGCCGUCUUCGUCGUCAUCCCGGAUCUCAAGCGGCAGGAACUCGUCGUCGUCGCCGCCGUCCUCGUCUCCGGCGAACUCGAAAGUGAAGUCAUUGCGCCCAGCAUUCGCGGCCUUGAGGGUGCGGAAGGAGAAGACGACAUUGUGGACGUCGAACACCCGCGCCUUCCACUCGCCGACGUUCUCCGUCUUCUCCUUCCGCAGCCAGGUGGUCCUCGGCACGAGCCUCGCGGAGGAGAUGUUGAGCCCCGGCCGGUAGGCGGCCGCGUCGGAUGUGGCGGCGUCCUCGUCGCCCGCCGCCGCGGCCGCCGCGAACGCGUCGUGCACCUCGCGCCGGCCGCGGUGGAGCACGAGCAGCGACCCCGGGGGCAGGCGGCGGCCGCCCGCGUUAGCCUCCUCGCCGAAGAAGAGGAAGGAGUGGUCGGCGCGGCGGAUGCGGAGGCCGUCGAACCCCGCGAGCGUGGUGUCAGCGCGCAGGUCCGCGCCGCGCUUCCAAAUGCGGUAGGUGUCGGAGGGCGCGGCGCGCGAGAGCAGCGGCACGACGGAGCUCUCGAAGUGGAAAUCCACCUCGAGGUAGAAGUCCUGGACCCGGCGCAGCGCGGCGGAGAGCGCCGGCGCCCGGCGGCGGAGCUUGGCCCAGGCGGCGAGGCGGUGCGCGCGGAGUAGGCAGGCGGCGAUGUCCCUGCACCCCAGGCACAGCGCCUCCUGGAGUGGGGUCCACCCGGCGUGGUUCUGCAGCGUGGGGUCCGCCCCCGCGGCGGCGAGCGCGGAGACCAGGGAGGGCAGCCGGAGCCGGACCGCGAGGUGGAGCGCGGUGUCCCCGCCGGGGACGUCGCGGCGGUCGAGCGCCGCAGCGACGGAGGACGCGAGGCGGGCCUCCCGGGCGGCGUCGGCGGCGGUGAGGACGCGGGACGGGUGCGCGAGCGGCGGGAGGCCCGCGAGGAUGGCCUGCAGCCCCGCGGCGUCACGCAGCGCGACGCAGUGGUGCGCGGGGCUGUGCGCGUAGUCCGCGGGCCGGAUCGGCGCCGACGACGUGCGCUUGGGCCGCGCGCCGCCGCCCGCGGCGGAGGGCGAGGAGGAGGGAUCCUGGACGGGCAUUGCCUGCUCGGGGAGGGGGGGUGGGGAGUUGCUGGCUGGGCACUUGGGAUUCUCGCGGUUUUUCUCGGGUUCGGAGCUCGGCAGAGGAGCUCAGCGUCUGGUGCGGUGGUGUGGAGUGGAGUGGGGAACCGUGCAACCGUUGGGGAGGUGGGGGGGAAGAAGGGGCAGAACGAGAAGUGGCCGCGGGCCGGGCUGGAUCAAGAGCUAGGAAAUUAAUGCUGACUCAGCAGGCCCAUGGGUAUAUUCCGCUACAAGAUUUAAUGGAGAAUUUGCCUUUCUCGCCCAGCUUGGGAGUAGAACAGAAAUCACUAUCCUCCCCUGGCUCUAAGUAAGACACAAAUGAGCAAAUACAUGCACUCAUACCCACUUUUAGGAACACAAAGCAUAGAUAUGCGAGCAUUAUGCUGGAAAUUGCUAAUACCACGUGUAAAAAUUGUCCAUUCAUUCUUAACAAUUUUUAGCUCACUAAAAAGAUGGCAUAUGAAGAAACAUGAUGCUAGAGUAAGGGAUAAAAUCCGGUAAAUAUUUCAUUAUUCUCCGUUUUGGCGGUACCAUUUUGCUCAUAUAAGGAUAAGGUUUGAACAACCACCGUAUGUGCACGCCGAUCCACACUGGAUUGACUCGAUAAAACGGACGCAGUCCAAGCACGGUCACUUUCAUGAAGUAAAAACAGCAGCAGAAGGAGUGAGGAAUGCAACGGAUUGCUACAGAGGAGGAUAAACACAAAGUGCCAGGUCAUCAGUGGAAUAGACUGUAAACAGGAGCGUAAAGUGCUGGCCUCAACGUGGGGUGUGCUGACUGCGAGAAGGAUUAGUACGACAAAUCCAGCUUUUUCUAAGGAGGGGUGGGUCCGGGCCGGGCUGGGCCGGAUUCUGUGGCCCACGUCUUCUUCACUUUAUUCGUGCCCGCUGCAUCUCGUUUUCUUUCCCUUCUUGAUUCUGGUCAGCAGCCGACUGCUUACUCCUUUCGCUUUUUCUACUUCUCUUUUAUUUCCACUUUCAGACUGGACCUCCACGGAUUUGCAGCCAAAAACACGUUUGUUUACGCCUUCGAUCUGCUACCGAUGGGUGUCAUCUACGGUCUGAGCACGAAUCCAGCGGAUAGAAGCUUCGACAGCCUCCGUUUAUACUCAGCUUACACUAAUUUUUUUAUCGUCGCGAUCGAUCAUCUUGAUGAUCUAAGAUACUAUGAUCCAGCUCGUAUGCCUUGGAGGAGCACAAGUCUAGUUUUCUCUUUGUAGAAUCAGAUCGUUCUGAUUCUUAUUGGAGAAACAUACGCUGGAUUGAUGCAAAAUUGCAACAAAAAACUGUACUAGCUGGUGGCUCAUGCAAAGACCGUGAGGAAAAAGGAACAGGAACCCUGGCUCUCUUUAUUUAGGUCGCUGCUUUUGCCUUUUCCUUUUUGGUACGUACGAGAAUCUCGCUUCACCCCCCUUCUUUGAGUCGAGAGGCUGCCGACUGGUAGUAUUGCCUACUGCUACCCCCACCAUUUUCUAGUCCGUGGGAGGGGAGGAGAUCUCCUUUGAUGGGGAUGGGAGACGACGGUUGGAUUUCUUGGUUCGGAUCAGUGGAUCACAUUCAGGAUCAGAUCGCUUUGCCUUUCCUUUCCUUUUUCUUUUGUUUUCUUUCCUGCCUUGGAAUCCUCCAUCCAGCUGAGCUGGGUACGAACCGCUACAGAUUUGGGCCUUGGGGCCUGGAUGCUGCCGGGCCCACUCGCCGGCCACAACUAUACAGAAUAAAAAAUAAAUAAAAAGAAGAAGAACCACCUGUGACGGGGACGCUGCUCUCUUCCCUCCGGCCGGCACGAACCACUCCGUGCGUGUCCAUGCAUGGCGUUGUGCUUGUGCGUGGCAUGAUGGCGCGUCGCCGAUCCAAUCGAUCAAUUUAAGGGCGUCACGAACUCACCGACAGGCCGGAUCCUUGCUGAUGAUCCGAGGCCACCGGUCCGGGUAGGAUUCGGGAUCAUCAUUCUAUCGUGUUGCGGGUGGAAAGAGGGUGUGAUAAUUGAAGACACUUCAGUGAUGCACAGCACAAGGACUAAGCAUGCUCAUAGCUGCCGUCCAGACAUAGAGGCACGUACGUGGUAGUAGCAAUGAUUCUAUCACGUUGCGUUGCUAUGCUACGACACUGACACUCGCCGUCUGUGAUCAGACGGGGUUAUAAAGCACUUCCCUCGUCUCUUAUUAUUUGUCGCUCGGGAAGCGAGUUUAUGAGGAAAAUACGAUUUUCUAGAGGUAGAUAAAAAGGGACAGAAGGAGCAAUGCGAACCGUUUAUACAAAGUGGGCGACGCAAAACAGGAGCACGCGCUGUCACGGCAACUACUGGAGUGGCAGGUUGGGGAGCGCUGGAGCAGCGAAUAAAAACACACAGCAAAAGCCAAAAGGCCACGGAUGGCCCGUAUAGAUUUAUAGAAUACUCCUGGAGCACGAAGCAGAGGGGGCGUUGCUGCAUCGGGCUUGGCGACGGGGCAUAGCAAUAGCAUAGACGUUGCUGCAGCGUUGCACGAGGCCCAGGGCCCCUUCCUGUCUUGUGUCUGCUCUCCUCUUCCCAGUUCCCACCCGUCCUCUCCUAUCUCCUCGCUCCUCCUCAGCCCUCGCACCCAGGAUCUUCUCUGCCGCACCAUCUCUGCGCUCUGCUGCAAUCUCGCCGCCCGCCGCCGGCCGCCGGCUCGCUCGGACGCUCUGCCACGGCACGGGCGGCGGAAGCGGUGCGUUCGGCGCAGGAGAUCCUGCUGGCCUGCUACCACUGUUGCUGGAAAGAGAUGAGAGCUGUGGCAUGGCCUGCUGUGCCGUGCGUGCCCAUGGCCUUGUUAAUUAAGACGAGAGAGAGAGAGAGGGUGGAGGUGCCUGAGGUCCCCUGCCUGCGGCAAAUCUGCAAUUAUCCAUGUCGUCAGUUCAUCCAGUACCGCUGAUGCAUCACGCGACACAUACCGGCUCGUUCGGUGUGUCUGCCAGAUUUUAUUAUGGUGAGAUGGCGUGUGACGUGUCAUACAUCCAGCUAAGCACCACUAGUAACUAGUGUAAUCACAACAAUAUAUAUAGGUCUAUUUAAGUUUUUUUGUUAGUUACACAUUAGACUCCGUAGCAUUGAUCUUUUUCAGAGCAUCUAAGUUUGCACAUAAAUCGACAAUGCGAGGUUAACGCCAGCUACUACCAAAUUCACCGUGAAAAAAAAAACUUUUGAUGAUACAUUUAAAAAAAUAUACCCAUAUCAUAUCCUAGUGAAUUGAGAGUAACUCAGUUUGUUAUGUUCCUUAUGAUAGAACAUAUGCUUGUAUCUACGAUCAAUUAUUGCCGAUCUUAAGGCAAAACGAUCAAGUUCUUCAGCCCGGAGACGGACCCAAGAGGCCACCAUCUUGCCAGCGAAAAUCAUUACGGAUACCGGCAGGAUCGCGUACAACGUCAUUAGAGCCUGCCGCCAUGCCGCGUGCUCACCAAAAGUGCAAUUAUGCAAAUAACAAAGCACUCCAUUUCUCUACACGACGAGCAUUCAUGAUGCUGUACAAACAGCUUCACCAAUCAUGAACAAUUCAUAUGAUUGGAAUUCGGAAUCCACAUCGACUACGGUUUCCUCGACUGACUCGCCAUGAAAAACAGGAAACUUGGUAGUGUACAAUCGCAACAACAUAGAGCUCCCGCCCUACAUAAUCAUAGCAAACACCAUCAGGCCUCCGCAUCAACUUUACCGGCCAAAAACAAUACGACAGGCUAAUUUUGUCCUUAAACGGAUAGAGCAAUGGGAAUCUAUCGGCUGAACCAAGAAAAACAUAGCGUGACUAUGCCCUCAGCAGCGGCAAUUUAAAACGAACAUAAUGAACAAAGAUAACGCCAAUCAGUUAAUCACAGAUCAGACGAGCCCAAAGGCAAAGUGCACAAAUAUGCAGAGGCAAAUAGAACUCAGUACCACGGGCCAUUCCACCUUUAUAAUGCCCAAAACACUUCAAACCUAAUGACGAAAUAAACCAUUGAAGCAAUCCGGCAGCGUAGUAGAGACGACGUGUAUGUACACCAUGUUUACGACGGCAAGAAGCAGCAGCCUGGUCAAGCUUGUUUAUUUACAGUGGCAGGGGGCAGCUGCUUAGGCAGAGCCGAAGGUGUUCUCGCCACUGUAAGUCAUGUAGAGGAAGCCGUCCUCGUCCUUGUUCUCCUCAUAGAUCGCGGAC
This 41287-nucleotide long non-coding RNA is filed under the name Setaria viridis. RNAcentral's name for it is "long non-coding RNA (SVIR_LNC002392)". Lineage: Eukaryota; Viridiplantae; Streptophyta; Magnoliopsida; Poales; Poaceae. The record is from RNAcentral.